This 740-nucleotide ribosomal RNA is filed under the name uncultured bacterium. RNAcentral describes it as "bacterial SSU rRNA". It matches the Rfam family "Bacterial small subunit ribosomal RNA", at positions 8 to 796 of the family's 1533-position model. The record is from RNAcentral.
AGAGUUUGAUCAUGGCUCAGAACGAACGCUGGCGGCAGGCUUAACACAUGCAAGUCGAGCGCCCCGCAAGGGGAGCGGCGGACGGGUGAGUAACACGUGGGAAUAUACCCUUCGGUACGGAACAACUCAGGGAAACUUGAGCUAAUACCGCAUACGCCGGCGACGGGAAAGAUUUAUCGCCGAAGGAAUAGCCCGCGUCCGAUUAGCUAGUUGGUGAGGUAAAGGCUCACCAAGGCUCCGAUCGGUAGCUGGUUUGAGAGAACGACCAGCCACACUGGGACUGAGACACGGCCCAGACUCCUACGGGAGGCAGCAGUGGGGAAUCUUGGACAAUGGGGGAAACCCUGAUCCAGCCAUGCCGCGUGAGUGAUGAAGGCCUUCGGGUUGUAAAACUCUUUCGACGGGGACGAUAAUGACGGUACCCGUAGAAGAAGCUCCGGCUAACUUCGUGCCAGCAGCCGCGGUAAUACGAAGGGGGCUAGCGUUGUUCGGAAUUACUGGGCGUAAAGCGCGCGCAGGCGGCUCUUCAAGUCAGGGGUGAAAGCCCAGAGCUCAACUCUGGAACUGCCCUUGAAACUGUAGAGCUUGAGUACGGUAGAGGUGAGUGGAAUUCCCAGUGUAGAGGUGAAAUUCGUAGAUAUUGGGAAGAACACCGGUGGCGAAGGCGGCUCACUGGACCGUUACUGACGCUCAGGCGCGACAGCGUGGGGAUCAAACAGGAUUAGAUACCCUAGUAGUCC